Molecule: long non-coding RNA, 6580 nt
Organism: Vicia villosa (hairy vetch)
Lineage: Eukaryota; Viridiplantae; Streptophyta; Magnoliopsida; Fabales; Fabaceae
Exons: 3
Source: RefSeq, a predicted model, not a curated record
AUUAUUAGAAUUAUUAGUUUUGUAAUUUUACUAACUAUUGUUAUUCAUUUUGGUUAUUAGUAAUCGGGUUAUUAUUCAAUUAAGGGUAUUGGGUUUAAUUAAUUAUUUAGAAUUAUUUUUAUUAAUAUUAGGAUUAUUAGAUUUAGUUAUUAGUUAUUUAGGUAAUAAGCCCAUUAGGUGUAGAAAACCCUGAUUCAACUAAUAUAAAUAGACAAUUUUCAUACGUAUUAGGAGAGGCCAACUCCAUUCACAAAACCCUACUUUCAGCCUUUCAUUCUCACGCACAUAAUUUCUUAGUUUUGUACAUACAACUAACGAAUCCUAACUAACCUAUUGAUUUUCUCUAUUCAUGAUACAUUGUGAAUAAGCUAUAGAGAUUAAUUCCACAGUUUUCUACUCUCUCACGUUGAGAAAAGAACAAAGAAGAAGAUCCAUAUCCAACAACAACAACAACUCGGCUUCCGUUUUCAACCCGUUCAGAAUCCAUCCCGGCACCGAUCUAGAUCCGAAGUUUAACGAGGUUUCUGAUCGCACCAACCACGAUCCCAACCAUCUCCGCGAACAGUGCUGCUACCGCUCGCAAAUCUCCACCAUCGAUCACCACACGGCCGCAAUCCGACGCACAUCACGACUUUAAUCGGUUGAGAAAAGAACAAAGAAGAAGAUCCAGAUCCAACAACAACAACAACUCGGCUUCCGUUUUCAACCCGUUCAGAAUCCAUCCCAGCACCGAUCUAGAUCCGAAGUUUAACGAGGUUUCCGAUCGCACCAACCACGAUCCCAACCAUCUCCGCGAACAGUGCUGCUACCGCUCGCAAAUCUCCACCAUCGAUCACCACACGGCCGCAAUCCGACGCACAUCACGGCUUUAAUCGGUAAUUUUUCCAUUGUUGUUUGACUUUGAUGGUUUCAAAUGUGAGCUUUUUUUUUAUAUAUAAUGUUCAUUGCUAUGGUGAGAUUGGUUUUGUUUCAAACUGAGAUUUUUGAGAGGAAGAGAUUUGCCUGUUGCUGUUAUUUCACGUGUGAAGAGAAACAAGUCUCACUGGUGUUAAGACCAUAUAUUUUGUUAAUUUCAUUUUUUUUGUUUUAUUCAACACCACGUGUCACCACCGUAGUGGUUUAUAGGGUUAGAUUUAGUUAAGAGGAAGAUGGGAGGACCGAAUCAUGUUGCUGUAUCUAUACUUAUUCACCAUUUUUUUAUUUUUGUUUUAAAAAAAAACUAUCAAUUAUUUAAUUAAUUAUUCAAAUAGGGUUAGGAUAAUUAAAUUAGGAUUAGGGCUAUAUUAGGUUUUAGGAUUUAUUUUCCGAUUAUUCCGAUUACUCGAUUUAAUUUAGUUUAAUCAUUUUUAAUUAUAAAAUCACAAAAAAUCUAGGAAGAUUAUCAAUGCAUUAGGGUUUGCCCAAUCCCAAUACCAUUUGGCAAAGAAAACAUUAACAUUAAUUCUCUCCUCGACCCGACUAAAGCUAUUAGUCGCAUUAGACGAGAGAUAAACAAAUAUAUAAUUUAAAAUACAGUUAAUUUGCUGCCCACGAUGAUUGAAUUUAUCGAUCUGAGUAACCAGCAAUGCCCCAUUAAUCCGUUAACUAUAAUGAUCAAACCUAUUGAUCACUGCAACUAACGGUGCCAUAUCAAAUCAGGGUUGUACGCCCAAAACAUCUAAAAAAACACUAAACCACGAUACUACGGAUUUUCAUCCUUUUCCAUCAGGCAAUUCAAAAUGCCUUUCAAAUCUCAACUUCCAAAACUACGACAGGCCAUUCAAAAAGCCUUCAAACCUCAAUUCAAAUUCAAAGGCGUACAACCCUGUGCCCGAACUACGUUGACUCUGAUUCUCCCUAAGGAGAUACGUAGGCACUUGGAUAACCAAGGCGAGUCCCCCUCCCUAAAAUCUCAAAUUUUCCCCUAUUCAAUUCCUCAGCUAUUAACCUUAACUUUUAACCAUAAAACUUGACCCUUAGACUCAAAGCCAAUAGGAAAGGGUUGAGGGUGCCUAACACCUUCCCUCAACCUGAUUAUAAUAACUUACCCAGAUCUUUAUACUGCGUAGGGUUUCCUAUUCGCCCUUCAGAAUAGGUGGCGACUCUAAACCUUUUAAAUUUUUAGGCAGGUUGCUACACUGUAAUCAAAGAGAACUAAAGAAAAUAUUAGAAAAAUAUGUGCAGGAGGCAGGGAUCGAACCCAUGCCCCUGUGUACUAUGACCUUAAGACACUCCCUCUUGCCACCAAGCCACUUUCGAUUCGCUGUUAACAUAACAAACCCUAAACAAAAUAUUUAAAACAAAAACAGCUCAAAUUUCAAAACUGGAUUCGCGCGCCCUGCAUGUCUCCUUCUUCCUUGUUGGGCCUGGUUUUUGGCUACGAACCAGCUACGGUUCUGCUACGAUAAUGGUUGUAGCUAACACACCUGCAACUCUCAAAAUCAACAAUAUGCAAUAGAAAUUCCAGGGAAUGUCAUGGUUCGAUUGGAAUUUGUGUUUCGUUUUCAAUGGUGCCAUCGAUUCGGCCCAAUUUUGCCUAGAACAUGGGAUCCCAAUUGGAGUUUUCCAAACCCUAACAAUGGAAUCAUGGUAUUCAUGCAUCAAAACUUAAAUCAAUCUGCCCAGAAAGCUUGCACACAUCAUUCUAAUCAUGAAAAUACAAUCAAAAUAUUGUCAUAUCCCAAAAUUUGCCCACCAUAUUUUCAUGCUAAAGCUCAUUUGAAUAUCAAAGUCUCAAUACUUGAUUGAAUAUACACUAUCCUAAACAACAUCUCUCCGACUAGGGUUUUGCCUUUCUCAAAGAAAAGUCAGGUUCUUAUACCUCAAGAAGAUCCCAUGGCCUAUCAUAUGAUCCAAAGAAUCCCUAUGCCAGUUUUCAAGCCCUAACUCCCAAGAUUGCACAGUCAACUGCUUAAAAGAUCAACAGUCGACCAAUUUGACCUAAAAGUCAAUUGUGGUCAAAGUACAGUCAAAACUCCUGAUUUUUUGUCAACAUCCUCAUUUUAAAGUAUCAUUCAUCAUUUGAUCAAGGGUUGAUCAUGAUUCAUCAAGAAAAGCUCCAAAAUCAUCAAAAACCUAAGUUUCUAAAUUAGGGUUUUUAAGGAGAAAGUCAACCCAACUUUGACCAGCCAUAACUUUCACAUGGAACAUCAAAAAUUUUCCAUCCAAAGCUCAAUUUGAAGGAAAUUGAAUUCUUUACAAAUUUGUAUCUCACAAGCCAAGGCAAAAAAUGCAUCAUUUAAGAGAUAUGGGUCAAAAGAUUAGAGGUCCUCCAAGAAGUCAACAAAAACACCUUUUGGGUCAAAGCUCAUAACUUGCAAAUGGAAAAAUCAAUUGAGAUGAAACCAAAAGGGUAAAUUAGAGGACAUCUUGGGAUUUCUAAAAAUCCUAGAACAUGGUCAUAUGAUAAGAAUUGAAGGAGAUACGAGGUUCAGAAGUUGGUCGAAUUUCAAGAAAUACACUAAACCUUAAUUGACCAAUCUUGGACUUAUAAGUUAAUAGGUCUAGGUUUUGGACUUCAAACAUGAUUAUGACUUCACAUAGGACCCAUAAAUUUAUUCUCAUGUUUUUGUGACUAUUAUUUAAUUUAUUUAGAUUUUUAUUCCAUAAAAAAUCAAAUUAAUUAAGUAAAAACACAAGAAUUAUGAAACAAAUUAAGGAGGUUUAUUUUCAAAUCAUAUGGAGGCUCAAAUAAUAUCACAAUAAGGUCCAAAUUUCGUUUGCAUGGGCAUGGAAAGAAAUUAUCCAAAUUUAGAAAGAAAAUACAUGGUUUUUUUUUUUAUGAAAUUUUCUUUCUCUUCAUAACCUAAGGUCCAAGCCCACAAGUUGCCCUAAUACAAUCAUAUAUAUAUGCCUAACACGUUCAGACUAGGGGAGGACGAAAAUUGAAGGAGAAAAAUAAGGGUUUCUAAAAGUUCCAACUUUGAUAAAGAAGGAGCCUAUUUUCGGGUGCUCCAACAAAACAAUUUCAGAGCCUCCAGUUCGUUCCAUUCUCCUCUUUAGGUAUCAAAAUACUGGUAUGGAUCAUCAUAUUUAUUUAAAAUAGCUUGAAAUCCAUGCAUCGCAUCUUUCAUGAUUCAUAUAUAUGUGACUUUCGUUUUUUACUAUUUGCCAUGAUUUAAUGAGAACUAACCAUGCUGAUGAAGUAUUGGGCAUGUAUAGAACAGAUUCAACGUAUAACAUGGAAGGUUUGAGCCUUAAAUCGUUACCUGCCAUUGCUAGGGCAUAAGUGAUGAAAGCUUUCGUUUUUGAGGAUGCAAGGUGUCUUCGACCAAAACAAUGACGUAUUUGAACUCAGGGCCUGUCUUUGUGUGGAUCUGGGUUGAUAGUCUAUGUUGUUUCGUUGUGUUUUUAGUGUUUCCAAUUUGCAGGUUGAAGAUGAGAAAAUACGAAGGAAAUUCCGCAGGAAAUUCCAUAGAAGAAUCCGCUGGAAUUUCCGCAGGUAAGAGGAAGAAGACAAUGAACAGUUGUCUUGGACUUUUGACCACGCGUGGGGACUCGUGAGUGGGUGGUCAGCAUGUCAAUUAUCUCCCUUCAAUCUGAUUGGCCGGUCAAUCAAUCUAUGGGGCCACGCGCGCAGGUGUUGACUUCCAUAGACUUAUUAUUUUAUUAAGUUUUUGCUUCACUUUAAUUUCAACAAAUGCAGAUGGUUCAGUUGGCCAGCACAUGGGUUUGGAUAGUAUGCAAACCUGGGUUCGAACCUAGGGUUUGCAACUAUUUUAUUUGCAUUUUCUUGAUCACAGAUUCGAUGCUGCGCGCCUAGGAGUGACUACGAUGCAUCCCCAGACACGCCACCAUCAGAUCUUCAUCAAAUCCAGAUCUGAAGGCCUAGAAGAUAGUCCCCACCAUGGACCAUCAAGCUUCCUCCACACUGAAUCCCAGCUAAGUAUUUUUUAAUUUUUAUUUUUAAUUACAUAAACAAUUUCAUGUUCCUUUUCUUUCUUUAUUUUUAUUAUAACUCUUUUUAUUUAUAUUUUUUAUUUUAAUAAAUUAUUUUUAUAGUAAAAUUAUAACUAUUGAUUAUUUAAUCGAAAACCCGAAUUUUCUUAUUAUAUUAAAAAUAAUCAUUUUUUUCAAGCUAAUAAUUAUGUUAGGGUAAUAAUUUAAUUUUGGGCUAAUAAAUUUUAUGCCUUAAACCCUGAUUUUAUCAUGAUCACUAAUCACUGUUAUUGGUAGGUGUUGUCCAUUAACCCUAGUCUAUGUUUUUUUACCUGUUUCUUCUGUUAACCAUAAUUAAUUUCUGUCCCUUUCGGGGUUUGCCUUUUGCCACGCCCUUUUUAUUUAUUUGCUUAAAUUAUUACCAUUUUAAUUUUUGAUCUGUUACAUUAUAACUGUUGAGAUCUUUAAUGCACUAACAUUCCUCUUCUUUGUGCCCAAUUUUCAGGGUUAAUCAGAGAUCUUUCAGCCACACGCCCCGCCAUACCAAAAAAGCUAAGUUUCUAUUUAACAUCAUUUUAUUUUUAUUUUGCCUUUUGAAUUAAAAUAGGGUUUGCCUCCAUAGUUAAUGAACCUGUAAUACACUAAUCUUUAUUUAUUUUCCUUUUAAUUUUCAGAGUCGAUUGAGAGUUCGAGAAAGAUCAAGGCGUUCAAGGGUUUAUAUUAAUUAUUCAUCCCUCUUAUUUUUGCUUUUAAUUUCCCCCAUCCCCGCAGGUGUUUAUUGUAAUAGCGUAGGACUUAUUUUUCUGCCUUUAAUUUCUGCAUUUUUAAACUCUGUGGUUAGCAAAAUAGGGAGUGCAACCAUGAAUUGAACAUAGAUCACUAAUUUACAAGAUAAAUAUCAUCGAAAUUAACCACGUGAUUGUGCACCCACACACCUUUAGGGUAACCCUUCUUGUUGCCUGUUGCCUUAUCACUUGCUGCCUUGUUGCCUUAAUUUUGAUGCCUAAAAAUAGUCAAGUCCCUCGGUUCCGAGGAUACCUAAAGCAAGGUUGCCUAAAGAGAUUAAAAAUCAUCUAGUCCCUCGAAGUUGCCUCGGUAAAGCAUGAUGAUUGUCCCAAUUGCUAAGGUAUCCUUGCAUGAUGCCUUAAAAGACUAUUCUAUCCUUCCCUUAGACUACCUGCCUUCUUUAUGGCAAGGGACAGUCUUAUGGCGAACGAUAACUCGAUGACCCUUCAAAUAUCCAAUAGAAAGACUUCCUGCCCUCUCAUGGUAUGGAUAGAUCCUUUCACCCGAAAGACUAAAAGAACAAAUUUCUAAACUUAGGGUAGUUGCUAUUAAUUGCUUGCUCUUUUUCAAAUUCAAAUUCAAAAUCUUUUUCCCACUUCUUUUCAAAGAAACUUUUCAAAAAGACUACGCUUAUUUACAAGCUAAAGUUCUUAUUCGAAUUUCUAUUCACACCCUACUUUUCAAACAAUUCAAACAUUUUGAAAACAAAGUGAGCUAAGCAAUUAAGAGCAAAUGGUAAGUCCCUUUGAGAUAACGAAUGGCAGCCUUCUUCAAGAAGACAGUUCGUUUUGCUUAAAGAUUCCUCAGCAAAGUCAGCAAAUGGUAAGUCCCUUCAUCAGAAGUGACAGUUUGCAUCCAGUUCCUUUUCUCAAGCCAUGUCCUUGAAGAAGUUGAUCCCUAUUCUUAGCGGCAACUUAUUGUUCUCAGCAGCUUAUCG